CUGACACCAGAGGACUUCAUAUAACAUUGCAGCAUUAACAUCUUCACUGGCAGGUUCAUGGACUUUCCCCCUCCUGAAUGUGAUCCAGAGGCCUAAGAGUAUUUCCAUGCCAAGUUCAAGAAGACAGAGGGAAGAGAGGAGUGAGAGGCAGGGCACGAAGUGGGGAACGAAUUGACUCUGCACCUGCAAAUGCCUAGCAGAUUAUAUGUCAAUUUCCAUGUGAAAUGAGAGACCAUGGGGAUUCAUUAUUGCUGGAGUUGAUGGUAUUGCAGUUUUACAACCAUCUAAUAAAUUAGCAUUUAAUACUGAGAGAUUUCA
This 318-nucleotide long non-coding RNA is filed under the name Piliocolobus tephrosceles (Ugandan red Colobus). Its description in RNAcentral is "lncRNA (ENSPTEG00000006669.1)". Lineage: Eukaryota; Metazoa; Chordata; Mammalia; Primates; Cercopithecidae. The record is from RNAcentral.